AACGAACGCUGGCGGCAUGCCUAACACAUGCAAGUCGAACGAGACCUUCGGGUCUAGUGGCGCACGGGUGCGUAACGCGUGGGAACCUGCCCUUAGGUUCGGAAUAACUCCCCGAAAGGGGUGCUAAUACCGGAUAAUGUCUUCGGACCAAAGAUUUAUCGCCUUUGGAUGGGCCCGCGUUGGAUUAGCUAGUUGGUAGGGUAAAAGCCUACCAAGGCGACGAUCCAUAGCUGGUCUGAGAGGAUGAUCAGCCACACUGGGACUGAGACACGGCCCAGACUCCUACGGGAGGCAGCAGUGGGGAAUAUUGGACAAUGGGCGAAAGCCUGAUCCAGCAAUGCCGCGUGAGUGAUGAAGGCCUUAGGGUUGUAAAGCCCUUUUACCCGGGAUGAUAAUGACAGUACCGGGAGAAUAAGCGCCGGCUAACUCUGUG
RNAcentral lists this ribosomal RNA (433 nucleotides) under uncultured bacterium. RNAcentral describes it as "partial 16S ribosomal RNA". It matches the Rfam family "Bacterial small subunit ribosomal RNA", at positions 29 to 507 of the family's 1533-position model. The record is from RNAcentral.